Molecule: long non-coding RNA, 184 nt
Organism: Fundulus heteroclitus (mummichog)
Lineage: Eukaryota; Metazoa; Chordata; Actinopteri; Cyprinodontiformes; Fundulidae
Exons: 3
Source: RefSeq, a predicted model, not a curated record
UGGGCAGGUCCUCACUAGAGGAGAUAUGUUCACUCUUGGGUUAUCACAAGACAUCAAUGGGCUGAUGUUGAACUCCUGUUUGAAAGCUGUUGAAAGAAUGUGCAGCGACAAGGGUGUCAAGGUUUUUGCAGGAAACAGUCAUGUAGUACAAACCUGGUUUCCACCUCUUUCCCUUGACCCAGCC